Cotesia glomerata is the source of this 598-nucleotide long non-coding RNA. RefSeq lists it as uncharacterized. The transcript has 3 exons. NCBI's taxonomy places the organism in Eukaryota, Metazoa, Arthropoda, Insecta, Hymenoptera, Braconidae. The record is from RefSeq and is a predicted model, not a curated record.
GUCGACACGACACAUGUAUAAAAUAUACAUGUACGAUCUACGAUGUACAUUCAAGCAAUACUUCCCACAUUGUACAUUGUGUGUACAAUACAAGUCAUCUGUAACUCAGACUCAGAGCCAGCCAACAGUUUUAAAUUCAGUACAAUGUGAGACGCCGUUAAGUGUCGUUAUAUUUGAAUUACUCGAGAUUUAAAAAUACUCACCUAUCAACAGAACCAUUGUUUACUUUUUAAUUAGUAGUAAUAUUUUUAAUCAUCUUCAUCAAAUUAUUUCUAUUAUGCACUCAGUGAGAUGGUGACUGUGAGCAUAGUAAUCAGUGAUUGAAUCUGCUAUGUGGUUUUACUUUUAUUUAGAUUGGAUUACCCGUAAAUUCCAGAUUAUAUUGGAGCAUAGAGUCUGGAUGAGAUGGGAUAGAAGCUUUUAACGGGUUCUUUACAACCGAGUGAGCGCAAUACAAGAUUUAAUACAGUAAAACUCAAACUAUUGGUAUGCUACAUAGACACAACAUGUGUGGUACGGAUACUGACACACACAGGCGGCUAUUAACUCUGACCACUUGUCAAACAGGUUUUAUUCUCUCCACUCAUUAUAUGCAUGU